Non-coding RNA from Camellia sinensis, 444 nucleotides. NCBI's taxonomy places the organism in Eukaryota, Viridiplantae, Streptophyta, Magnoliopsida, Ericales, Theaceae. The record is from RefSeq and is a predicted model, not a curated record.
AUUGAGUUCUCAAUCGGCUUCUCAGUAGCAAAAAAAACUUUGGUUUCUCUGGUUUCUUCCAAAACCUCAGAUUUCUUCGAUUGCCCAGGGUUCACAUAUAUUUGUGGUUGCUUUAUCAAUGCUUGGUGUUGAUCAGAGUGGACAAUUCGGGUUGCCAAAGCCAAUCAGGAUUUGGUAACUCAUCAAUUUAUGGUUGCUUUAUCAAUGCUUGGUGUUGAUCAGAGUGGACAAUUCGGGUUGCCAAAGCCAAUCAGGAUUUGGUAACUCGUCAAUUAAGUAAUUUUUGGGUUAGGUUUUCAUUUGAUUUUUUUUCUUUCUAAUUUUGACAAUAUAUUUUUUGACUUUUUAUAAAAAGAUGUACAAAAAAAUAAUAAAAAAAUGUGACCCAAAUAAAUACACUUAUUUAGCUUAUGCCAAAUAAUGCUUAGAUUUUAUAGAGCAAUA